RNAcentral lists this transfer RNA (73 nucleotides) under Rubricoccus marinus. It matches the Rfam family "tRNA". From Rfam's summary of the family: Transfer RNA (tRNA) molecules are approximately 80 nucleotides in length. Their secondary structure includes four short double-helical elements and three loops (D, anti-codon, and T loops). Further hydrogen bonds mediate the characteristic L-shaped molecular structure. tRNAs have two regions of fundamental functional importance: the anti-codon, which is responsible for specific mRNA codon recognition, and the 3' end, to which the tRNAs corresponding amino acid is attached (by aminoacyl-tRNA synthetases). tRNAs cope with the degeneracy of the genetic code in two manners: having more than one tRNA (with a specific anti-codon) for a particular amino acid; and 'wobble' base-pairing, i.e. permitting non-standard base-pairing at the 3rd anti-codon position. The record is from Rfam by way of RNAcentral. Lineage: Bacteria; Pseudomonadati; Rhodothermota; Rhodothermia; Rhodothermales; Rubricoccaceae. RNAcentral also lists the same sequence under 7 other names.
GGGGCCAUAGCUCAGUUGGUAGAGCGCCUGCUUUGCAAGCAGGAUGUCGGGGGUUCGAAUCCCUCUGGCUCCA